GUGGAUAUAGCUCAGCUGGUUAGAGCACUAGAUUGUGGUUCUAGGGGUCGUCGGUUCGAACCCGAUUAUCCACCCCA
RNAcentral lists this transfer RNA (77 nucleotides) under Sphingobacterium sp. UT-1RO-CII-1. RNAcentral's name for it is "tRNA-His". It matches the Rfam family "tRNA". From Rfam's summary of the family: Transfer RNA (tRNA) molecules are approximately 80 nucleotides in length. Their secondary structure includes four short double-helical elements and three loops (D, anti-codon, and T loops). Lineage: Bacteria; Pseudomonadati; Bacteroidota; Sphingobacteriia; Sphingobacteriales; Sphingobacteriaceae. The record is from RNAcentral.